UACAGAGGGUGCAAGCGUUGUUCGGAAUUACUGGGCGUAAAGCGCGUGUAGGCGGCUUGAUAAGUUAGAUGUGAAAUCCCUAGGCUCAACCAAGGAACUGCAUCUAAUACUGUCAGGCUAGAGUAUCGGAGGGGAUGGUGGAAUUCCCGGUGUAGAGGUGAAAUUCGUAGAUAUCGGGAGGAACACCUGUGGCGAAGGCGACCAUCUGGAAGAUUACUGACGCUGAGACGCGAAAGCGUGGGGAGCAAACAGG
This 253-nucleotide ribosomal RNA is filed under the name uncultured bacterium. Its description in RNAcentral is "partial 16S ribosomal RNA". It matches the Rfam family "Bacterial small subunit ribosomal RNA", at positions 524 to 776 of the family's 1533-position model. The record is from RNAcentral.